AAAGAAAAAAACAGAACCAGGGGAAAAAGAACAAAAACACAGAUUAUGCCAAUAAAUGCAAUUACUAGCCAAAAAGUCACUCAGAUUCUUCUGUCCACAGUCAUACAUGAGGUCUGGGAGGAGACCUGUGGUGUAUCAAACACAGUAUUGUUAGAACCAGGAUUUAGUGCCCUGAGGACAAUCUGAUGGAGCUAAUGUGACAAAGAACAUAAACCAUGGGAAAACUAGAGACAGCCAUUUUAGAAAGGACUUUUCCUACAAGAAGGCUCUAAGUCCACAUAGUGAACCAUGGCACACUCACAGACCAGAAAACUAGAAAAUACCAAAGAAGACCAAGCCAGCUUCCAUUGAAGACCCUUUCCUCCAUGGAGGUAGAGAAUAAUGUAUAUGACUGCCAGAGGCAGAAGCAAAUAGGUUACUAGUAACUUGGUCCUACAGACAUCCCCUACCAAGCUCUAAGCUGGUUGAAAUUUGCUAAUGAUGAAUUCCUGAGUUCAUGGACAGUUCACAUAGGCCGGGAUCAUGACAGCCUGGGGUCAGCUACCCUGAAGAGACACAUGGAACACCUGAGGCUGUGGGCUCUGGCACAGGUAGCAAACUGUGUGGUUGAGACCAGAGAGCUGCAUAAGGCAUGGGCCACCUAGGACUGUGUCUUGUCCUCCAACCAGCCACCUGAGAUUUUUGACUUGUGAAGAGCAAAAAGCACCGAGCCAAUCAUGGUCAUUGCCCUUGCUGAGCACCUAAGUGCCUGACUGGCUGGGAAGUGCAUGAAACACACGACCCACUUGGGACCAUGCCCUCACGUAUCAACAGGGAGGCUGAGCAGUGUGGACCCAGGAAGAACAUGUCACAUUUGUCAGUGGCAAGCCCAAUGUGGUCAAUCCACCUCAAGCACCCACAUAUCCCAGAGGUAUUUGUUUUCAGUGUCCCGGUCUCACGAAUUCCGCUC
RNAcentral lists this small RNA (949 nucleotides) under Bos taurus (domestic cattle). The record is from RNAcentral. Lineage: Eukaryota; Metazoa; Chordata; Mammalia; Artiodactyla; Bovidae.